Long non-coding RNA from Homarus americanus (American lobster), 426 nucleotides. RefSeq lists it as uncharacterized. The record is from RefSeq and is a predicted model, not a curated record. The transcript is spliced from 3 exons. NCBI's taxonomy places the organism in Eukaryota, Metazoa, Arthropoda, Malacostraca, Decapoda, Nephropidae.
UUAUUAUAUUAGGUAAAGUUGAGUUGUUCGUGGUAAGUUAUUAACAGUGUUCAUCGCCUCACUUGUAAACAUUAAGUCGACCAAAAUGUGUUAAUUAAAAUACAAACUUGGAGGAUUUAAUACUUCACUACGUCACUUGUAUGGCUCCAAUUGGUUGUUACUGUAGUGUUAAGACAACUACCAUAUUGCUGCCUCGCUGAUCGUGGUUAAUGAAGUUCCUCGUGUCAUUCGUCGAGGAAGGUGACGUGAAGAUGUAAGAUAUGGGCCACAAGACGAAGGUUUGUUUUGGUUAAUGGGUCUCUUGCUGCACCACAUUGGAAACUUUCUGUUAUAACAUAAGGUACAGUGGGGUAUGCUAUAACGAACGGAUCCUACUACGAAUAUUCCUAUAACGAACGGUUCUACCUAUAAAAUUGAGAAUGCUAU